UUAACUGGAAGCAUUACCAUAGCUUCUGUGAUGUAAGGUAAUUUCUAUGCCAUAGUGCAAUCAAGGAGCUGGGCUUUGAACAAGGUUUGAUAGUGAAUUUUGCAGAUGGCUUGUUAUGAACAUUUAAGAAAAUGGCUAAGCAGUUGAAUGUGUUAGGGAAUAUUAACAAAGCAGAAGGUAGAGCAAUGAAUUUUUCUUACUAUACAGCUAGUUUGCUGUCCUUUCCAGUAAACCACAAGGUUCAUUACUGCUUGGUACUGUUUCAUUUCUGAUAACCGUUUAUAAUGUGAUUUUCAUGACAAAGUGUAAUUAGUGAAAACUUUUAUUCAAUUCUUCCCUUUCUUUGGUUUUUUUAAGGAGAAGUUUCUCCUUAUAUGGUAUAUAUACUUUCUUACAGAGCUUUCUUACCUAUUUUUGUAUCAGGUGAUUUAACAAUGUAAUAUUAAAUGCUCUAUGAGCAACGCUAUAUCACUGUUAAACAAUCUAAGUGCUAAAAUAACAACUAAGGGCCUGAACCCUACUGCCUUUCACUCAGGUCCUGGGUUCACCACGCUUCUUUCAUGCUGUGUAGUACCUUGCCCAUAAGCAGCUCCAUCUGCGUCUUUGAGAUGACUCAGG
Tinamus guttatus (white-throated tinamou) is the source of this 618-nucleotide non-coding RNA. The record is from RefSeq and is a predicted model, not a curated record. NCBI's taxonomy places the organism in Eukaryota, Metazoa, Chordata, Aves, Tinamiformes, Tinamidae.